This 97-nucleotide microRNA precursor is filed under the name Notamacropus eugenii (tammar wallaby). Its description in RNAcentral is "miRNA (ENSMEUG00000017473.1)". Lineage: Eukaryota; Metazoa; Chordata; Mammalia; Diprotodontia; Macropodidae. The record is from RNAcentral.
CAUAUGUGUUUACAUGCAAAUGUAUAUUUGUAUAUGUGUGUGAGUAUACAUACAUACACACACACACACACACACACACACACACACACACACACAC